GAGGAAUAAGCAUCGGCUAACUCCGUGCCAGCAGCCGCGGUAAUACGGGGGAUGCAAGCGUUAUCCGGAAUCAUUGGGCGUAAAGCGCCUGUAGGUUGUUUAUUAAGUCUGUGGUUAAAGACUAGGGCUUAACCCUGGGAAAGCAAUGGAAACUAAUAGACUAGAGUAUGGCGGGGGUAGAGGGAAUUUCUAGUGUAGCGGUGAAAUGCGUAGAUAUUAGAAAGAACACCGGUGGCGAAAGCGCUCUACUGGACCAUUACUGACACUCAGAGGCGAAAGCUAGGGUAGCAAAAGGGAUUAGAUACCCCUGUAGUCCUAGCCGUAAACGAUGGAUACUAGAUGUUGUGCAUAAAGUACAGUAUCGCAGCUAACGCGUUAAGUAUCCCGCCUGGGGAGUACGCUCGCAAGGGUGAAACUCAAAGGAAUUGACGGGGGCCCGCACAAGCGGUGGAGCAUGUGGUUUAAUUCGAUGCAACGCGAAGAACCUUACCAGGGCUUGACAUACUACGAAUUCUCUUGAAAAAGAGAAGUGCCUUCGGGAAUGUAGAUACAGGUGGUGCAUGGCUGUCGUCAGCUCGUGUCGUGAGAUGUUGGGUUAAGUCCCGCAACGAGCGCAACCCUUAUUUUUAGUUACCAAUUCGUUGGGUUCUCUAGAAAGACUGCCGGUGACAAACCGGAGGAAGGUGAGGAUGACGUCAAGUCAGCAUGCCCCUUAUGUCCUGGGCUACACACGUGCUACAAUGGCGGAGACAAAGAGUCGCGAGCUCGCGAGAGUCAGCUAAUCUCAUAAACUUCGCCUAAGUUCAGAUUGCAGGCUGCAACUCGCCAUACAUGAAG
This 837-nucleotide ribosomal RNA is filed under the name Haptophyta environmental samples. RNAcentral's name for it is "bacterial SSU rRNA". It matches the Rfam family "Bacterial small subunit ribosomal RNA", at positions 481 to 1325 of the family's 1533-position model. The record is from RNAcentral. Lineage: Eukaryota; Haptophyta.